GUUUAUGGCCCUAAGAGCCUGCAUGCACCCUGCUUAUCCGAUCACGGAAGCUAAGCAGGGUUGGGCCUGGUUAGUACUUGCAUAGGAGACCAUGUAGGAAUGCCGGGUGCUCUAGGCU
This is a ribosomal RNA of Cercocebus atys (sooty mangabey), 118 nucleotides long. Lineage: Eukaryota; Metazoa; Chordata; Mammalia; Primates; Cercopithecidae. The record is from Ensembl.